Molecule: transfer RNA, 70 nt
Filed under: Gongylonema pulchrum
Lineage: Eukaryota; Metazoa; Nematoda; Chromadorea; Rhabditida; Gongylonematidae
Rfam family: tRNA
About the family: Transfer RNA (tRNA) molecules are approximately 80 nucleotides in length. Their secondary structure includes four short double-helical elements and three loops (D, anti-codon, and T loops).
Source: Rfam by way of RNAcentral
GAACCGGUGGUGUAAUGGUAACACGUUGCGUCCUGGCGUGAAAAGGAAUGGUUCGAUUCCCUCCGGUUCG